AUGCACGCUGGCGGCGUGCCUAAUACCUGCCAGUCGAGCGAACGGACGAGAAGCUUGCUUCUCUGAUGUUAGCGGCGGACGGGUGAGUAACACGUGGAUAACCUACCUAUAAGACUGGGAUAACUUCGGGAAACCGGAGCUAAUACCGGAUAAUAUUUUGAACCGCAUGGUUCAAAAGUGAAAGACGGUCUUGCUGUCACUUAUAGAUGGAUCCGCGCUGCAUUAGCUAGUUGGUAAGGUAACGGCUUACCAAGGCAACGAUGCAUAGCCGACCUGAGAGGGUGAUCGGCCACACUGGAACUGAGACACGGUCCAGACUCCUACGGGAGGCAGCAGUAGGGAAUCUUCCGCAAUGGGCGAAAGCCUGACGGAGCAACGCCGCGUGAGUGAUGAAGGUCUUCGGAUCGUAAAACUCUGUUAUUAGGGAAGAACAUAUAUGUAAGUAACUGUGCACAUCUUGACGGUACCUAAUCAGAAAGCCACGGCUAACUACGUG
This 496-nucleotide ribosomal RNA is filed under the name uncultured bacterium. RNAcentral describes it as "partial 16S ribosomal RNA". It matches the Rfam family "Bacterial small subunit ribosomal RNA", at positions 29 to 507 of the family's 1533-position model. The record is from RNAcentral.